RNAcentral lists this ribosomal RNA (619 nucleotides) under uncultured bacterium. RNAcentral's name for it is "bacterial SSU rRNA". It matches the Rfam family "Bacterial small subunit ribosomal RNA", at positions 704 to 1328 of the family's 1533-position model. The record is from RNAcentral.
GAACACCGGUGGCGAAGGCGGCUUUCUGGACUGUAACUGACACUGAGGCACGAAAGCGUGGGGAGCAAACAGGAUUAGAUACCCUGGUAGUCCACGCCGUAAACGAUGAGCACUAGUUGUUGGUCCCGAACGGGAUCAGUGACGCAGUUAACGCAAUAAGUGCUCCGCCUGGGGAGUACGGUGGCAACACUAAAACUCAAAGGAAUUGACGGGGACCCGCACAAGCAGCGGAGCAUGUGGUUUAAUUCGAAGCAACGCGAAAAACCUUACCAGGGCUUGACAUCCCUCUGACCGGCCUUUAACCGGGCCUUUCUUCGGACAGAGGAGACAGGUGGUGCAUGGUUGUCGUCAGCUCGUGUCGUGAGAUGUUGGGUUAAGUCCCGCAACGAGCGCAACCCUUGUCGUCAGUUACUAACAUUAAGUUGAGGACUCUGACGAGACUGCCGAGGUCAACUCGGAGGAAGGUGGGGAUGACGUCAAAUCAUCAUGCCCCUUAUGUUCUGGGCUACACACGUGCUACAAUGGUCGGUACAAUGAGAAGCAAGAUGGCGACAUGGAGCAAAUCACCAAAACCGAUCCCAGUUCGGAUUGCAGGCUGCAACUCGCCUGCAUGAAGUCG